Molecule: ribosomal RNA, 253 nt
Filed under: uncultured bacterium
Lineage: Bacteria
Description: partial 16S ribosomal RNA
Rfam family: Bacterial small subunit ribosomal RNA
Source: RNAcentral
UACGUAGGGUGCAAGCGUUGUCCGGAAUUAUUGGGCGUAAAGAGCUUGUAGGCGGUUUGUCGCAUCUGCUGUGAAAUUUCGGGGCUCAACCCCGAACUUGCAGUGGGUACGGGCAGACUAGAGUGUGGUAGGGGAGACUGGAAUUCCUGGUGUAGCGGUGAAAUGCGCAGAUAUCAGGAGGAACACCGAUGGCGAAGGCAGGUCUCUGGGCCAUAACUGACGCUGAGAAGCGAAAGCAUGGGGAGCGAACAGG